GAACCCGAGAGGCGGAGCUUGCAGUGAGCCGAGAUCACGCCACUGCACUGCAGCCUGGGUGACAGAGCGAGACUCCGUCUCAAAAAAAGAAAAAAAAAAGAAAAGAAAAGAAAAGAUAAAAUUACCAGAAAAUAUUAAACAGGCAGCACUGAGGAGUAAAGGAAUAUUUGGGAGGAUCAGAAGCUUGGUCCUGAUUUUGCCAUCAACCAGGACCUUGAUGACUUCAAGGGAGUCCCCAAACCCUGGGUUUCUGUUUUCUCAACUCUAACAUGAGGGGCUAGACGCAUCUGGUUUAGUUCGUCUCCAUGAUCCUGUGAAUUUCAGAUGUUGAAAAUCUUCAGAAAAGCCCUGAAAGAUGAAGAGUGGUCUCAAAUAGUCAAGACCCCCUGCUGGGGGGAGCGUCUAUCCUGCUCUGUGGAA
This 420-nucleotide non-coding RNA is filed under the name Pongo abelii (Sumatran orangutan). Lineage: Eukaryota; Metazoa; Chordata; Mammalia; Primates; Hominidae. The record is from RNAcentral.